CAAAAUGACUCUCGGCAACGGAUAUCUCGGCUCUUGCAUCGAUGAAGAACGUAGCAAAAUGCGAUACUUGGUGUGAAUUGCARAAUCCCGUGAACCAUCGAGUCUUUGAACGCAAGUUGCGCCUGAAACCAUUAGGUUGAGGGCACGUCUGCCUGGGUGUCACAC
RNAcentral lists this ribosomal RNA (165 nucleotides) under Galactia tenuiflora. RNAcentral's name for it is "5.8S ribosomal RNA". It matches the Rfam family "5.8S ribosomal RNA". Rfam says of the family: 5.8S ribosomal RNA (5.8S rRNA) is a component of the large subunit of the eukaryotic ribosome. The record is from RNAcentral. RNAcentral also lists the same sequence under 1 other name. Lineage: Eukaryota; Viridiplantae; Streptophyta; Magnoliopsida; Fabales; Fabaceae.